RNAcentral lists this small nucleolar RNA (136 nucleotides) under Dasypus novemcinctus (nine-banded armadillo). Lineage: Eukaryota; Metazoa; Chordata; Mammalia; Cingulata; Dasypodidae. The record is from RNAcentral.
UUCCAAUGUGUUGAGUUCAGUUCAGGGCAGCUUCCCUAUUCUGUUAAUUAAAUUUUGGGAAAUUGAAAAGAGCUAAGAUAAAUGGUUGACUAGAAAAUUCCUUUCUAUUUAUUCACUUAUGUCCCAGCCAACAAAA